RNAcentral lists this ribosomal RNA (490 nucleotides) under Caridina wilkinsi. RNAcentral's name for it is "partial 16S ribosomal RNA". It matches the Rfam family "Bacterial large subunit ribosomal RNA", at positions 1850 to 2597 of the family's 2925-position model. The record is from RNAcentral. Lineage: Eukaryota; Metazoa; Arthropoda; Malacostraca; Decapoda; Atyidae.
CAGUCUGGCCUGCCCCCUGAAAUUUAAAGGGCCGCGGUAUUUGUACCGUGCUAAGGUAGCAUAAUAAAUAGUCUUUUAAUUGAAGUCUAGUAGGAACGGUCGGACAUGAAGUAAGCUGUUUCAAUUAUGAUGUUUGAAUUUUACUUUUAAGUGAAAAGGCUUAAAUCAGAUGGUGGGACGAUAAGACCCUAUAAAGCUUUACAUUUUAUUUUUUGGUUUAAAAGAUUUAAAGUUUCUUGUGUCUAUAAAGUAUAGUGUUUCGUUGGGGCGACGAGAAUAUAAAUAGUAACUGUUUUUUUAUAAAAAAUACUUGUUUGUAGGUGAAUUGAUCCUUUAUAAAGAUUAUAAGAUUUAAGUUACUUUAGGGAUAACAGCGUAAUUUAUUUUGAGAGUUCAUAUCGACAAAUAUAGUUGCGACCUCGAUGUUGAAUUAAAAUACCCCCUAGGUGUAGAAGUUUAGGAGGAAGGUCUGUUCGACCUUUAAAAAUUU